GAUGAACGCUGGCGGCAUGCCUAAGACAUGCAAGUCGAACGAGGUGGCCCAAUGAAGAUGGAGUGCUUGCACAAAAGUUGGAUUUGGUUUACCACCUAGUGGCAGACGGGUGAGUAACACGUGGGUGACCUACCUUCAAGUUGGGGAUAACAGUUGGAAACGAUUGCUAAUACCGAAUAAGAUAUAACUGUCAAUGUUAUAUUGAAAGGAGCCUUUAAAGCUUGCUUAAAGAUGGGCCUGCGGCGUAUUAACAGUUGGUGAGGUAAUGGCUUACCAAGGUAACGAUGCGUAGCCGGACUGAGAGGUUGAACGGCCANACUGGGACUGAGACA
Molecule: ribosomal RNA, 332 nt
Filed under: uncultured bacterium
Lineage: Bacteria
Description: bacterial SSU rRNA
Rfam family: Bacterial small subunit ribosomal RNA
Source: RNAcentral